This 304-nucleotide ribosomal RNA is filed under the name uncultured bacterium. RNAcentral's name for it is "bacterial SSU rRNA". It matches the Rfam family "Bacterial small subunit ribosomal RNA", at positions 154 to 491 of the family's 1533-position model. The record is from RNAcentral.
AAACUUGUGCUAAUACCGGAUAAGUCUUUACGGAGAAAGCUUUAUGCACCAUUGGAUGAGCCCGCACUUGAUUAGUUUGUUGGUGGGGUAAUGGCCUACCAAGACUAUGAUCAAUAGCUGAUUUGAGAGGAUGAUCAGCCACAUUGGGACUGAGACACGGCCCAAACUCCUACGGGAGGCAGCAGUGGGGAAUCUUGCACAAUGGAGGAAACUCUGAUGCAGCGAUGCCGCGUGAGUGAAGAAGGCCCUUGGGUUGUAAAGCUCUUUCGUCGGGGAAGAAAAUGACUGUACCCGAAUAAGAAGG